Molecule: unclassified non-coding RNA, 344 nt
Filed under: soil metagenome
Description: partial contains 5.8S ribosomal RNA, internal transcribed spacer 2, and large subunit ribosomal RNA
Rfam family: 5.8S ribosomal RNA (bases 1-120)
Source: RNAcentral
GAUGAAGAACGUAGCGAAAUGCGAUACGUAAUGUGAAUUGCAGAAUUCAGUGAAUCAUCGAGUCUUUGAACGCACAUUGCGCCCUCUGGUAUUCCGGAGGGCAUGCCUGUCCGAGCGUCAUUGCUGCCCUCAAGCACGGCUUGUGUGUUGGGCUCCGUCCCCCGAUCCCGGGGGACGGGCCCGAAAGGCAGCGGCGGCACCGCGUCCGGUCCUCGAGCGUAUGGGGCUUUGUCACCCGCUCUGUAGGCCCGGCCGGCGCUUGCCGAUCAACCAAAUUUUUAUCCAGGUUGACCUCGGAUCAGGUGGGAUACCCGCUGAACUUAAGCAUAUCAAUAAGCGGAGGA